CAGUUAUUAUGGCAGCAGGACGGUGCCCAUGGAAGUCGGAAUCUGCUAAGGAGUGUGUAACAAUUCACCUGCCGAAUCAACUG
This 83-nucleotide non-coding RNA is filed under the name Canis lupus familiaris (dog). RNAcentral's name for it is "Eukaryotic large subunit ribosomal RNA". It matches the Rfam family "Eukaryotic large subunit ribosomal RNA", at positions 1225 to 1308 of the family's 3401-position model. Lineage: Eukaryota; Metazoa; Chordata; Mammalia; Carnivora; Canidae. The record is from Rfam by way of RNAcentral. RNAcentral also lists the same sequence under 1 other name.